Molecule: ribosomal RNA, 516 nt
Filed under: uncultured bacterium
Lineage: Bacteria
Description: bacterial SSU rRNA
Rfam family: Bacterial small subunit ribosomal RNA
Source: RNAcentral
GACGAACGCUGGCGGCGUGCCUAAUACAUGCAAGUCGAGCGGACCAAAGGGAGCUUGCUCCUGGAGGUUAGCGGCGAACGGGUGAGUAACACGUGGGCAACCUGCCUGUAAGACUGGGAUAACAUCGAGAAAUCGGUGCUAAUACCGGAUAAUAAAAAGAACUGCAUGGUUCUUUUUUGAAAGAUGGUUUCGGCUAUCACUUACAGAUGGGCCCGCGGCGCAUUAGCUAGUUGGUGAGGUAACGGCUCACCAAGGCAACGAUGCGUAGCCGACCUGAGAGGGUGAUCGGCCACACUGGGACUGAGACACGGCCCAGACUCCUACGGGAGGCAGCAGUAGGGAAUCUUCCGCAAUGGACGAAAGUCUGACGGAGCAACGCCGCGUGAGUGAUGAAGGUUUUCGGAUCGUAAAACUACUGUUGUUAGGGAAGAACAAGUGCCGUUCGAAAGGGCGGCGACCUUGACGGUACCUAACGAGAAAGCCACGGCUAACUACGUGCCAGCAGCCGCGGUAAAG